This 384-nucleotide ribosomal RNA is filed under the name uncultured Clavaria. Its description in RNAcentral is "SSU rRNA". It matches the Rfam family "Eukaryotic small subunit ribosomal RNA", at positions 585 to 972 of the family's 1831-position model. Lineage: Eukaryota; Fungi; Basidiomycota; Agaricomycetes; Agaricales; Clavariaceae. The record is from RNAcentral.
CCAGCUCCAAUAGCAUAUAUUAAAGUUGCUGCAGUUAAAAAGCUCGUAGUUGGCAGUUGGGAUGGGAGCAAGUGACGAUUGUAAGGUUGUCGCUUGCAUUCAUUCUUUUUCUGGUGUGGUGUGUAUAAGAUUCGCUUCUUGUACACACACUUUGCACCAGUCAUUACUUUGAAGAAAAUAGAGUGUUCAAAGCAAGCGAUUGCAUGAAUACGUUAGCAUGGAAUAAUAGAGUGGAACGAGCUUUCCAGUUUAUUGGUUUAUGGGGAGGAGCGUUUGAUGAGCAAUAGGAACAGUUGGGGGCAUUCGUAUUCAGGAGCUAGAGGUGAAAUUCUUGGAUUUCCUGAAGACGGACUAUAGCGAAAGCAUUUGCCAAGGAUGUUUUCA